UAGGGAAUCUUCCGCAAUGGACGCAAGUCUGACGGAGCAACGCCGCGUGAGUGAAGAAGGAUUUCGGUUCGUAAAACACUGUUGUUAGAGAAGAACAGCGCAUAGAGUAACUGUUAUGCGUGUGACGGUAUCUAACCAGAAAGCCACGGCUAACUACGUGCCAGCAGCCGCGGUAAUACGUAGGUCCCGAGCGUUGUCCGGAUUUAUUGGGCGUAAAGCGAGCGCAGGCGGUUAGAAAAGUCUGAAGUGAAAGGCAGUGGCUCAACCAUUGUAGGCUUUGGAAACUGUUUAACUUGAGUGCAGAAGGGGAGAGUGGAAUUCCAUGUGUAGCGGUGAAAUGCGUAGAUAUAUGGAGGAACACCGGUGGCGAAAGCGGCUCUCUGGUCUGUAACUGACGCUGAGGCUCGAAAGCGUGGGGAGCGAACAGG
Molecule: ribosomal RNA, 428 nt
Filed under: Bacteroidota bacterium
Lineage: Bacteria; Pseudomonadati; Bacteroidota
Description: Bacteroidetes bacterium partial 16S ribosomal RNA
Rfam family: Bacterial small subunit ribosomal RNA
Source: RNAcentral